Molecule: long non-coding RNA, 4276 nt
Organism: Myotis daubentonii (Daubenton's bat)
Lineage: Eukaryota; Metazoa; Chordata; Mammalia; Chiroptera; Vespertilionidae
Source: RefSeq, a predicted model, not a curated record
ACGCCUUUCCUAUCCUUACCCUUAACUAUGUUCAUUCAGAAACCAUCUCCUCUGAACACUUAGUUUUUUUUAAAGUGCUAUAUUUGUUGUUAAUCCUCACCUGAGGAUAUUUUCCCAUUGAGUUUUAGAGAGUGAGGAAAUGGGGCGGGAUGGGAGGAUGAGAAACAAUGUCAGAGAGACAUAUCAAUUGGUUGCCUCCCGCAUGCAACCCACCCAGCCGGGGCUGGGGAUCGAGCCUGCAGCUGAGGUACAUGCCCGAGGUACUGUGGGCCGAUGUUCUGUCCACUGAGACAAACUGGCUAGGGCUAAAAUGUUAUUUUCAGUGAACUUUUAGUUUCCAGAUGUGUAUACAUGCGUUAUGUAAAUUAGAACUUGGUUCAGAGACUCCAACACAGAAUGGAACACAAACCUUUGAUUUCAGUGAAAUGCUUUAGAAAAGACUUUAUUUUCAUCUAUUCUGAAGAGAUUGGUCUUACCAGGUAAAUGGUCAAAAAAGUGUGCAAGGAGGCAAUAGGACUAUAUCUCUCCUAUGGAUUCUGACGGAGUGGGAGCACUGUGUAUUGAGGAGGAUUCUGAAGUCAUGUCUGGAAUUGUUGAAAAGAAUGACCUAAUAUGGGUGGAAGAAAUGGUGGUUGGUAGUCAACUCUAGAACAUAGCUUUUUUACUUUUUAUUUUUCCUUCCAAAUAGUACUACUCUUAAAAUGUAUAAGAAGUUGAGUGUUUAUUCUUUAAAGGUAGUUUAUAUCCUAGUUUUCCAGUUUGGGUUAGUUUUUCUAUUCUUAUUACAGACAUUUCUAGGGACUUGCUUCUGGCAUUGGCUAUGCUUAUAUUUUGAAAACUUUUGCUUUUGAACUAAAUAAUGGCUGAUAGUAGCAUUUUACAGCCUUAUCCUAUUACCUUUUCAUUUUUUUUCCCUUCUGCACUUUUCCAUCGGGUAUUCUUUUGAAGCAAGACAAGCCUUUGAUACCCAUCUCAGGAAGGAGGUGGAAUAUAUACUUUAUUGAUGGCUGUUCAUUUUAGGCUGGUGCCUUGCAUGGGGCCAAGAAGCUGUGCCCCAGGGUCUUCUCUGUAUGGAGAGGAGCAGGGAAGAAAGGUUUUGGACUUUAAAUCGUCACUAUUAUAAGUGUAUCACAGGAUCAUGGUAACAAAGAAAAAUUUUAUAAUGAUCAUAAAGAGAAGUAAAAGUUCCCAACCCAUUCUAUCUAGAACACUUUGGUCAUAUUUCUCAACGAUUAAACACUAUUAGCCUUUAUGAUCUUCCAGUAAUUUUUCAUGAUUAUGCAAGCAAUUGGUGUAUGUAUUCUCUUCCCUCCUCCCUUUUAUGGAUAAAUGAAUCUAUAUUAUAUUUCAGGUCCUCCCCCUCUGGGUAACCCCCCCCCCCACCCCCGCAGUUUGCCUGUGUUUCUUUCUUAAUACGUCUUUGGCAUCUUUCCAUAUCUGAACAUAAAAAUCUAACAGAAAGGAUUCUGAGUACAUGAAAUUAGGGAUAGAAGCUCCAGCUUGGAGGCCUUGGUGACUGCCUUCAUCGUUUGGGUGUGAAUUCAUUUAUUUUUCCUGUCCAGGAAAGUUAAAAAAAAAAAAAAAAUUCCAAAUACAAAUGAUUGGAAUGUUCGUAGCUGCUUUUCAGUCGUUGACUCUGACUGAGUCAGCAAUGACAGAAGCCUGGGAAGGGUUAAUAGAUUAUUUUAGGGCACAUAAGCAGGAACUGGAUUAUUUAUAAAUUGGCAGACAGUGGCUGCUUGUGAUUCACUUAAAACCACUCAAAUUUAUAAAUUCCUUAAAAAUCUUAAAAAACAUUCUUAUUGAUUUUUAAAAUCUGAGUUUAAAAAUAAUUUAUGAAGAAUUUACAGUUAAUUAAUGAUAGUACUUGGGCUUUAUUUGUAACGUUCAUAAGAGUAAAUGUUGUAGUUAUGAUUACCUGGUCAGUUUUAAAAUUUGGGGGGAGAGAUGGUUAUUGCUAACAUAAACUCUUUUCAGCUGAAUAUUUUCAAGUGUAACAACUUUGCAAAGGCUUAUGAUAGUAGCUUGGGCAGCAUUUUCUUUAAACAAAUUUUGAUGUAUGACAUAAAGGACACAUUUUUUAAAGUUCCAUUUGUGGGGGGUUUGAAGUAUUUAGACAAGGUUAAAACUUAACAGCUAAGGUCUAAGCAGUUUGUCAGUCAAAUCAAAUCUGUAUUACUGUUUUUUAAAAAAUAUGUUUUUAUUGAUUUCAGAGAAGAGGGAGAGGGGGAGAGGGAUAGAAACAUCACUGAUGGACUGCCUCCUGCACGCCACCUACUGGGGAUUGAGCCUGAAACCUGGGCAUGGGGCUUGAUUGGGAAUCAAUUGGUGACCUCCCUGUGCAAGGAAGAACACUCAAGCUGCUGUGCCGCUCCGAUUGGGUAUGAAUCCUUUGAUUAAAGUGAGAAACCUGGGUUUGAGUUAUAGUCACGUUAGUAUUUUUAGAUUCUCUGGGAGCAUAUGAAUUAGAUAAUGGUGCCAAUUUGAAAACUUCCAUGUAGGCAAUUAAUGUUUGUUUUAAAACUGAGGUAAGAGUCCUGCUGGAGUGGCUCAGUGGUUGAGUGUUGACCUAUGAACUAGGAGGUCAUGGUUUGAUUCCCAGUAGGGCAUGUGCAGGAGGCAGCCCGAUCAGUGAUUCUCUCUCAUCAUUGAUGUUGCUAUCUCUCUUUCCUUUUCCCUUCCACUCUGAAAUCAAUAAAAAGAUAAAACAAAAACAACACAGGUAAGAAGCAUUGGGAUUUCCUCACAUUCACUUAGGGCCAGGAAAUUACUGUGAAGUGUUGGUCAUUGUAUUUGGGUACUUUGGUACACUGAGUACUGCAUACUCCAUAGAGGACAAGAAGGUGACCUAUUACGAAAAUAUAAGUCUUUUUUUCAUUGGUGUGGAUAUGCUAUCAUCAACAACUUAGGAAUCAAAUUACCAAUAACAUAGUGUUUAAAGAUAGUAUUCAAAUUGUGUGAAGUUAGCAAACAGAAAGGAGUAGUUCAUUACAAAAUACUUUAUGUAUAAGUAAGACCCCCUUGGUGACUGAAAAUACAUUAUUUAACAUUUUUAUAUUAUACAUUUUCUAAAUACAUUUUUAAAUUCUACAUUUAAAACACAUAUAUUUUUAUUGAUUUCAGAGAGGGAGAGAGAGAGAGAGAAACACCAAUGAUGAGAGAUAAUCAUUGAUCAGCUGUCUCCUGCAUGUCCCCUACUGGAGAUCAAUUGAGCUUGCAACCCGGGCUUGUGCCCUGAUGGGGAACGGUGACCUCCUGGUGUAUAGGUCAACUCUUAACCACCGAGCCACGCCGGCCGGGCUGAAUUUCUUACAUUUAGGUAUUAGAUUAACUUUCACAAAGAAUGGAAGGACACCAUUAAAUUUAAAAGUAAUUUAAUGGAAGUUACUCCAGUUAAAGGUCAAUUAGAUAUUAAAGUGAAAGCUUCUCACAUUCCAUAAAGCCUGUGAGCGUUGGAUACAGUUCAUGUGUGGGAAUUCAGUCGUUGAUCCAAAGGUUAUUGUGAUGUCCAGCACUGCAGUAGGGGAUAGUCCAGAAAUAUAAGAGGUCUUUAACUGAACCUUCUCGAACUUCUUGAGAGCGAAAUAAAUAAGAAUGGAAACAGUAGAGAAAAUUGAUAUUUUGAGGAAGAAGCUAGCCUUUCUGAGUAUGAGCCAUAAGAUAAUUAAAAUCACUAGGGUAUAAUUCUUAUUACAGCUGUAGAGUUUAUGGCCGGAUAAAUGGUCCCUGUUCAACCACAGAGAGUAAUUCUGGUAACUGGACAAGUUUGUUUUCCUCAAAUGGGUCCCUCUUUCCCAGGAAAGGCGUUGAAUAAACAUCCUCAAAAUCUUAAUCAUCUUAUUCUUUUGUGAAAGCCCUUCUCUCCUUGUCCCUGAGUUGAUUUCUCAUUCUUAGAGUCACAUACCAGUCAUGCCUCCCUGGGACACACCCUGGUCACUGAACUUGUUCCCUUACAAAUUCCUGAACCACCUUCGGGAUGGGUUCCUGCAGCUAAUGGCUGCUCUUAGUAUUACUGGUGUCUGCCCCCGGCCCCCCCCUUCCCCCCAAGGAAACUUCAGUUUCAAGGUUGUCAGGUACAUUGCUAUCUCAUGGACAGCUCCAUGUCUCACCAUAAUCCAUGAAUGGUAAUCCAGUAAUCUUUCCAGCAGUGGCCACACUGAAGCUGCUGGUCUAGUUGUGUACUUGCUGCGUCUCCCUGUGGACCAUCCGUAUCUUGUUCACCGUGUCUCUGGCAUCAAACUCCAUGCACGUUUAAUUGGAUUAAUAUUAGCUGAUC